RNAcentral lists this ribosomal RNA (385 nucleotides) under uncultured bacterium. RNAcentral describes it as "bacterial SSU rRNA". It matches the Rfam family "Bacterial small subunit ribosomal RNA", at positions 123 to 507 of the family's 1533-position model. The record is from RNAcentral.
AACCUGCCUUUAUCUGGGGGAUAGCCUUUCGAAAGGAAGAUUAAUACUCCAUAAUAUAUUGAACGGCAUCGUUUAAUAUUGAAAGCUCCGGCGGAUAGAGAUGGGCACGCGCAAGAUUAGCUAGUGGUGAGGUAACGGCUCACCAAGGCAAUGAUCCUUAGGGGGCCUGAGAGGGUGAUCCCCCACACUGGUACUGAGACACGGACCAGACUCCUACGGGAGGCAGCAGUGAGGAAUAUUGGUCAAUGGGGUGCAAGCCUGAACCAGCCAUCCCGCGUGAAGGACGACUGCCCUAUGGGUUGUAAACUUCUUUUGUAUAGGGAUAAACCUUUCCACGUGUGGAAAGCUGAAGGUACUAUACGAAUAAGCACCGGCUAACUCCGUG